GACGAACGCUGGCGGCGUGCCUAAUACAUGCAAGUCGAACGCUUCUUUCCUCCCGAGUGCUUGCACUCAAUUGGAAAGAGGAGUGGCGGACGGGUGAGUAACACGUGGGUAACCUACCCAUCAGAGGGGGAUAACACUUGGAAACAGGUGCUAAUACCGCAUAACAGUUUAUGCCGCAUGGCAUAAGAGUGAAAGGCGCUUUCGGGUGUCGCUGAUGGAUGGACCCGCGGUGCAUUAGCUAGUUGGUGAGGUAACGGCUCACCAAGGCCACGAUGCAUAGCCGACCUGAGAGGGUGAUCGGCCACACUGGGACUGAGACACGGCCCAGACUCCUACGGGAGGCAGCAGUAGGGAAUCUUCGGCAAUGGACGAAAGUCUGACCGAGCAACGCCGCGUGAGUGAAGAAGGUUUUCGGAUCGUAAAACUCUGUUGUUAGAGAAGAACAAGGACGUUAGUAACUGAACGUCCCCUGACAGUAUCUAACCAGAAAGCCACGGCUAACUACGUG
RNAcentral lists this ribosomal RNA (508 nucleotides) under uncultured bacterium. RNAcentral describes it as "partial 16S ribosomal RNA". It matches the Rfam family "Bacterial small subunit ribosomal RNA", at positions 28 to 507 of the family's 1533-position model. The record is from RNAcentral.